AUUUUGGUGGGAGUCACUCAGGAGGGAUAUUAAUUACUCUGUCUGUGCAGUUUCGAAGGUUCCUCAUAAACUUCCGUGUGGAUUGUUACAGCCACUUCCUAUACCUAGUAUCCCAUGGUCUCAUUUAUCGAUGGAUUUCAUUGUUGAACUGCCUAGUUCCAAUGGAUAUACAACCAUCCUCAUGGUAGUUGACUGUUUUUCCAAAAUGGCACACUUUACUCUACUUAAAAAAUUGCCAUAGUCUCAGGAUCUGGUGCACAUAUUUAUACCCGAUAUUAUCAGUCUACAUGGUAUUCCUCAAAAUAUUGUGUCUGACAGGGGUUUCCGGUUUGUAUCACGGUUCUGGAGGGCAUUCAAUAAACAGUUGGCCAUUGAAAUGUCAUUCUCAUCUGCUUACCAUUCCCAAACUAAUGGUACGGCUGAAAGAACGAACCAAUCACUUGAGCUGUAUUUACGUUGCUUUGUUAAUAGUACACAGUCUAACUGGGCUGAAUUAUUGUCCUGGGGCGAAAUUGCAAGGAAAAACGCUACCCAUGACUCGCCUGGGCAUCGUCAGUUUUUUCUCAAUACGGGUCGUCAUCCUGCUGUUCUCCCUGCUGUGUUUUCUGAUACAUCUACUCUGGAUGAUCACCUCACCUCUAUUCGUGAUACCUGGACUAAGGUUCACCCCGCUUUUGAAACUGCGGCUGCUCGCUGUAGCAGAUGGCACUGAGCUGUCCUGAAAAUUGCAUAUGUGUAACUGUAUUCGUGUAAAUUGCAGGUUUAUAGGUGUCUAAAUAACGUGUAUUCGUCUGAUUG
Molecule: non-coding RNA, 798 nt
Organism: Pelobates cultripes (western spadefoot toad)
Lineage: Eukaryota; Metazoa; Chordata; Amphibia; Anura; Pelobatidae
Source: the annotation of a GenBank genome assembly